GAUGAACGCUGGCGGCGUGCCUAAUACAUGCAAGUCGAGCGAACGGACGAGAAGCUUGCUUCUCUGAUGUUAGCGGCGGACGGGUGAGUAACACGUGGAUGACCUACCUAUAAGACUGGGAUAACUUCGGGAAACCGGAGCUAAUACCGGAUAAUAUUUUGAACCGCAUGGUUCAAAAGUGAAAGACGGUCUUGCUGUCACUUAUAGAUGGAUCCGCGCUGCAUUAGCUAGUUGGUAAGGUAACGGCUUACCAAGGCAACGAUGCAUAGCCGACCUGAGAGGGUGAUCGGCCACACUGGAACUGAGACACGGUCCAGACUCCUACGGGAGGCAGCAGUAGGGAAUCUUCCGCAAUGGGCGAAAGCCUGACGGAGCAACGCCGCGUGAGUGAUGAAGGUCUUCGGAUCGUAAAGCUCUGUUAUUAGGGAAGAACAUAUGUGUAAGUAACUGUGCACAUCUUGACGGUACCUAAUCAGAAAGCCACGGCUAACUACGUG
This 497-nucleotide ribosomal RNA is filed under the name uncultured bacterium. RNAcentral describes it as "partial 16S ribosomal RNA". It matches the Rfam family "Bacterial small subunit ribosomal RNA", at positions 28 to 507 of the family's 1533-position model. The record is from RNAcentral.